UUUUCUAGAGAUAGGAAUUCCCUUCGGGGCUUUUCUGCAAGGUGCUGCAUGGUUGUCGUCAGCUCGUGCCGUGAGGUGUCGGGUUAAGUCCCAUAACGAGCGCAACCCUUAUCGUUAGUUGCCAUCUGGUAAAGCAGGGGACUCUAGCGAAACUGCCACCGUAAGGUGAGAGGAAGGUGGGGAUGACGUCAAAUCAGCACGACCCUUAUGUCCAGGGCUACACACGUGUUACAAUGGCCGGUACAGAGGGCAGCUACCUGGUGACAGGAUGCUAAUCUCGAAAACCGGUCUCAGUUCGGAUCGAAGUCUGCAACUCGACUUCGUGAAGCUGGAUUCGCUAGUAAUCGCGCAUCAGCCAUGGCCGCGGUCGAAUACGUUCCCGGGCCUU
This 388-nucleotide ribosomal RNA is filed under the name uncultured Sphingobacteriales bacterium. RNAcentral describes it as "bacterial SSU rRNA". It matches the Rfam family "Bacterial small subunit ribosomal RNA", at positions 996 to 1382 of the family's 1533-position model. Lineage: Bacteria; Pseudomonadati; Bacteroidota; Sphingobacteriia; Sphingobacteriales. The record is from RNAcentral.